Molecule: ribosomal RNA, 248 nt
Filed under: uncultured bacterium
Lineage: Bacteria
Description: partial 16S ribosomal RNA
Rfam family: Bacterial small subunit ribosomal RNA
Source: RNAcentral
CAUGCUGUAAACGAUGGGUGCUUGUUGUUAGUAGUGUAAACCCUACUAGUAACGAAGCUAACGCGUUAAGCACCCCGCCUGGGGAGUACGGUCGCAAGAUUAAAACUCAAAGAAAUUGACGGGGACCCGCACAAGCAGUGGAGUAUGUGGUUCAAUUCGACGCAACGCGAAGAACCUUAUCCUAGCCUUGACAUGCCUUGACAACCGGCGAAAGUCGGCUUUCCCGCAAGGGACAGGGACACAGGUGC